CUAUACAUGACUCUGCGCAUAUCAAUAAGCGGAGGAAAAGAAACUAACAAGGAUUCCCUCAGUAACGGCGAGUGAAGCGGGAAGAGCUCAAAUUUGAAAUCUUGAAAGGUCACCUUUCACGAAUUGUAGUUUAAAGAAGUGUUUUCUGUUACGAUCGUAAUAUAAGUUCUUUGAAAUAGGACAUCACAGAGGGUGAGAAUCCCGUCUAUGAUUGCGAUUUGUAGCUUUGUGAUACACUUUCAAAGAGUCGGGUUGUUUGGGAAUGCAGCCCAAAACGGGAGGUAAAUUUCUUCUAAGGCUAAAUAUUGGCGAGAGACCGAUAGCGAACAAGUACCGUGAGGGAAAGAUGAAAAGAACUUUGAAAAGAGAGUUAAAUAGUACGUGAAAUUGUCAAAGGGAAGCGUUUAACACCAGUGUUGUUUUCUGAAAAUCAACCUCUGUUAGCUUUAUGCAUGUUUGUUUAGACCUAAUCAGCUAUCUUGCAUGUUCUAUUGUUUGCAGUGGUGCACUUUUCAGUUUACAGGUCAACAUCAGUUUUUUUUACCGUAAAAAAGUUAAAGAAAGGUAGCUCAUGGCUCCGGUCGUGAGUGUUAUAGUCUUUUUCCUAUGCGGUAGGAGAGACUGAGGUCUGCAGUGUAGGCUAUUUGGCUAGAUACUCAGGUGCUAUGUGAUACCAUUUCAUAAACAACUUGUUGAUUAUGUUUUGUCUAUUGCAUACUCGCUUGUACUAUCAUACCUACGCUUAGGAUGUUGAGUCGUAGAGCACGCAG
Molecule: ribosomal RNA, 770 nt
Filed under: uncultured Neocallimastigales
Lineage: Eukaryota; Fungi; Neocallimastigomycota; Neocallimastigomycetes; Neocallimastigales
Description: partial large subunit ribosomal RNA
Rfam family: Eukaryotic large subunit ribosomal RNA
Source: RNAcentral